CAGCCGCCGCGGUAAUACGUAGGGUGCGAGCGUUAAUCGGAAUUACUGGGCGUAAAGCGUGCGCAGGCGGUUCGUUAAGACAGAUGUGAAAUCCCCGGGCUUAACCUGGGAACUGCAUUUGUGACUGGCGAGCUAGAGUAUGGCAGAGGGGGGUAGAAUUCCACGUGUAGCAGUGAAAUGCGUAGAGAUGUGGAGGAAUACCGAUGGCGAAGGCAGCCCCCUGGGCCAAUACUGACGCUCAUGCACGAAAGCGGGGGGAGCAAACAGGAUUAGAUACCCCUGUAGUCCCUGUCUCUUAUAC
Molecule: ribosomal RNA, 301 nt
Filed under: uncultured bacterium
Lineage: Bacteria
Description: partial 16S ribosomal RNA
Rfam family: Bacterial small subunit ribosomal RNA
Source: RNAcentral